RNAcentral lists this ribosomal RNA (234 nucleotides) under Providencia rettgeri. Its description in RNAcentral is "partial 23S ribosomal RNA". It matches the Rfam family "Bacterial large subunit ribosomal RNA", at positions 470 to 705 of the family's 2925-position model. The record is from RNAcentral. Lineage: Bacteria; Pseudomonadati; Pseudomonadota; Gammaproteobacteria; Enterobacterales; Morganellaceae.
AUACUCCUGAUUGACCGAUAGUGAACCAGUACCGUGAGGGAAAGGCGAAAAGAACCCCGGCGAGGGGAGUGAAAUAGAACCUGAAACCGUGUACGUACAAGCAGUGGGAGCACCUUUAGGGGUGUGACUGCGUACCUUUUGUAUAAUGGGUCAGCGACUUAUAUUCUGUAGCAAGGUUAACCGUAUAGGGGAGCCGUAGGGAAACCGAGUCUUAACUGGGCGAAUGAGUUGCAG